AAUGGGAAGGAAAUGGAAAGCUCUGCACAAUAUAGGUAUCUGCAGGAGGAGUCAAAAUGAAGGAAGAAUAUUCUGUAGGUCAGUCAGUUUGCCAAUUGAAAUCCCAUAUCAAUAUAAUACAGGACAAUAAGGUGUUAGAACUGCCGAGGUGAUGUCAUAACUAUUUUUCUGAAGGGAUUUUUAUUUAUUUUUAUUUUAUUUUAUUUUUUUACAGCAGAGGAGUCAGUUCAAGGGCAUAAAAAAAAGGAAACAAAUAUGAAAAAAAAGCCCGCUACUCACCGCUCCAAAAAAGAGUUAGAGGAGUGGCCGAAAGAUAGGUCAGUCUCGGGAGCAGAGGUGUCCUGGUAAUAAGGAUGAUAAGGUGUUUGAACUGCCGAGGUGAUGUCGUAAUUAUUUUUCUGAAGGGAGUGCAAGUGAUGUUGGAUUACUGUGAUACCUGUAGAUAUUUUUGUGAAGAAGAAGGCACAUUGGAAGGGAACAUAUACAUACUACAUACAGGAUGGCCCAAAAAGUCCCACACCAUAGGGGAAUAUGACUUCUAAUCAAUUAUAUAUGGCUAUGGUGCAGGACUUUUGGGCCACCCUGUAGUUUGCUGUCAUUAUUUUUUGUGUAUUCAUGUGUCAAGUGGAAGGAAGUAAUCAUCCAACUUCGCUCGCCAUAAAGGGGCUAUUACACUGGGCAUAUUUUCCGUGGAUCUUCAGUCAAACCACGAUUUCCGCCAGCGUGGUUCUCAUUUCUUUCUUGUUAUUGCUGAUGAUGAUGAUGGUGAGUAAUACCGUCAUCCUUCAGUGAAAUCUACCGUAGCUUUGAAAGAUCGUGGACACGUCGGAGAACCACGGAAAUAUGAGAACCACGCCAGCGGAUAUCGUGGUUUGACUGAAGAUCCACGGAAAAUUUGCCUGGUGUAAUAGCCCCUUAACACAGUGAAGGAAAGACGUCUCAAGUGGUUAUAGUAGUUUGUGAUGAGUACUUUUUGAAUGGUGAUGUGCGGAGUGGAAAUUGUCUUGCGUCGGAACCUCCGAGAGAAAUGCAGAGAUACUGUCUGAAGUGAAUACAGAUAAACGUUAUUAUUUAUUAUUUUUUUAUCUAGUGUUGCGAGUGUGUCAAGUGGAAACAAGAUCAGGAAGUGAGGGAGUGAAGAUGUGUUAGUACUAUGUGAAGGAUGGGCUAUUUUUGUGGAGGGAAUUUGAGGGAUGUGAAAAAAAGAAGUAGUGUAAUUAUUUUUUGUUAUUUUUUUAUCUGGGAGUGUGUCAAGUGGAAACAAGAUAAGGAAGUGAGGGAAGAUGUGUUAGUAUGUGGAGAGUGGACUGUUUUUGUGGAGGGAAUUUGAGAGAUUUAAAGAAACGAAGCAGUGUAAUUAUUUUUUGUUAUUUUUUUAUCUGGUGCUGCGAGUGUGUCAAGUGGAAAUAAGAUAAGGAAGUGAGGGAAGAUGUGUCAGUAUGUGGAGGGUGGAGUGUUUUUGUGGAGGGAAUUUGAAGAAUGUGAAAAAAGGAAGCAGUGUGAUUAGGUAUUUUUGAUAAGAAACUGAAAUAACAAGGAUUUUUUUUUUUUUUUUUUUUUUUUUUUUAGUGUGGAAAAACACCAACGCCAUCUUCCAAAAAACUAUAUAUAUGUAAAGAAAGAAAAAUGUUUGAAGUUAUUAUAGUUUCCCAUGAUAAUAUAUUUUUUUUUUUCAUAGUGGAAAAAUACCAAUGCCAUCUUCCAAAAAACUAUUUAUAUGUGAAGAAAGAAAAAUGUUUCAAGAUAUUAUAGUUUCCCAUGAUAAUAUAUUUUUUUUUCAUAGUGGAAAAAUACCAAUGCCAUCUUCCAGAAAACUAUAUAUAUGUGAAGAAAGGAAAAUGUUUGAAGUUAUUAUAUAGUUUCCCACGAUAAUAUUUUUGUGAGAAAACAAAGUAAUAUAAUUAUUUUUGAUAAGGAAAUGAAAGAAUGAAAUGUUUUCUUAUAUACAGUGUGAUAAAAACAACAAUGCCACUCCAGAAAACUAUACAGAACAAAAUCUAAUGUUAAUAUAGUUUACCAUGAUAAUAUUUAAGAGGUGGAGGCCUUGAAAAGUGAAGUAAUCCUGCAGAACACUGUGUUGCCUGCUCGGACUGAUCUGAUAAAAGGGCUAUUACACCGGGCAAAUUUUCCGUGGAUCUUCAGUCAAACCACGAUUUCCGCUGGCGUGGUUCUCAUAUUUCCGUGGUUUUCUGACGUGUCCACGAUCUUCCAAAGCUACGGUAGAUUUCACUGAAGGACGACGGUAUUACUCAUCAUCUUCAUCAGCAGCAAUAACAACAAACAAUUGAGAACCACGCCAGCGGAAAUCAUGGUUUGACUGAAGAUCCACGGAAAAUAUGCCCAGUGUAAUUGCCCCUGAACACUGAACGCUGAGCCGUGGUGGUGAGGUUUGCCGGUGCGUGUGUGAAGGGAGUGCUCGGGGUGUGACGUUAUGAUGCAGAAAGUGUCUCCUUCGUUUUAGGUUAUGGUUAAGAAGAGUGUGACACGGACGCUGUAACUGCCAAGCAAGCCUUUCAUUGUACACAUUUUGUUAGUUGAUUUUUUUACAUCGCAUUAUUUUCUGCCUUCUCUAAGCAGAUACAUGGAACAUACAUUGAGGUGUGUUAGAGUAAUGGAUCCAGGCAGGGCAGGGAAAGGUUACCUGGGAGACACAUCCCUGAAAUAUUAAUUAAAAAGUAAUGUUUGGGACUGAUAACUAAGGGCCUUGAUAACUUGUGCUGCCUCAUUUACUGUAAAAAAAUGAAGACUCCUGUUCAAUUAGGUUUAAGAGGUUGUGGGUGGUCCACUAUGACUCCUCUCCCCCCUCCACUUUCACCUCCUUCCUCUUACUCCUUCUCCUUCCCCUUCCCUUCCUUCCACCCCUCAUUUCUCUAUCUCACUUCCUCUCUAUUUUCUUUCUCCUUUCCAUCACCCUUUCCCUUAGUUAUCUUCAUUUCUUUCUCCUCUCUUAUCUCCAUUUCCUCCCUUUAUCUUACCCUUUUCUGUUCUUAACUUUUCCUUUAUUUCUCAACCUUUAUUUCACAGUUUGACACAGGAGGUUUGUAAGACCCCAAACCAAACUAUGAAUAUUUCUUGUAUAGUGUUUUGCAUUCAUACAGUAAUUGGUUAGAAAUUUGAGGAAACUAAGUCUGAAGUGAAUAUCGUUAUGUGUCAUUUUUUAUGGUGAUGGAGGUGUGUCAAGUUGAAGUGAGAUAAAGGAAGGAGAGAAUGACGAUAUAUGUUAUUCUCUGCAAGGUGAAGUGCUGUUAUUGUGAAGGGAAUAUCGUUUGAAUAGGUUGUUGGUGCCGCAAACCCCAAGAUGUAGAGAUGAAGGGAAAGGGAAAGUUGGAUGACAAUCUGGCAACGCUGAGUGGAAGUAAGAUAAAAGGAGAGAAUGAAGAUAUAUGUUAUUCUCUGCAAGGUGAAGUGCUGUUAUUGUGAAGGGAAUAUCGUUUGAGUAGGUUGUUGGUGGCACAUACCCCAAGAUGUAGAGAUGAAGGUGAAGGGAAAGUUAGGCCAUUUUCUAUAGCUGUACAUGAUGAAGAGGGUAGAUCACACACUGUACAGAAAGAUAAACAACAAACACCCAAGAAAAAAAUACAAGAAAGUUCUAAUAAUUAACAACUUCACAAAUCAUUAAUAUUCAGAGGUAACGCAGUGUGAAGAUCAUCCAACACAAACUUAGGAGGACACCGUGGAAAGGUCAACAUUACCUCAAUAACAUGACCUUUUUUAUCGGACUCUAGCGGGGAUGACGUUAACACCUAGAGGAGGGGUUGUGAGGCCUUGUUAGAAGUGGCUCGGGAGAAUGACAUAUAUACCUCAUCAUUUUGAGAUUGUUUUCUAUCUUUUUAUUCUGCUGGUGCUGUGUGUGUGGAGAGGGAACAUUAGGGUAUCUAUUAGGGCAUGUCAGGGCUGGGUAUGGGUGAAAAUAAUUGUAUGGAUUAAGAAAAAUUGUAAAAUGAGCUGCUGAUAUCAAAGGGUCGUGUGGGUUGGUGGAGAGGGAUCAUUAGCAUAUCUAUUAGGGCAUGUCAGGGCUGGGUAUGGGUGGAAAUAAGGGUAUGGAUUAAGAAAAGUGUAAAACAAACUGCUGAUAUCAAGGGCUCUAUAAAGAAAAGAAAAUUAAUUGAAGUCUAUUGAUGGAAAAUUCAAGGUUAAGAAAAGAAAGGAAAAUUUAAUUGGUGAAAUGUAUGGGUGGAAAAUUUAUAGUUGAGAAAGGGAAGGGAAAGUUUGCUGGAAAAUAUGCAGUGAUGUGAAAAGUAUCGAUGUAUUAUUAUUAUUAUUAUUAUUAUUAUUAUUAUUAUUAUUAUUAUUAUUAUUAUUAUUGUUAUUAUUAUUAUUAUUAUUUUGUUAGCGUUUCCUUAUAAAAUAACGGAAAUAACAACACUACAUCAAUUCUUUUCUGGAUCCAUAAUUGACACACACCUUAGGAGAUUGUGUAUCCAUGUAUCUGUCUGUCUGUCUGUCUCGUUAAGUCUGUUGGUCUGUGGUGACUGUCUGUUAUCUCCCUGCCUGGUGGUGAACAGAAAGCAUCAGACUCAUCUGCAGAACUCCCAUCAGGUGCACACACACACACACACACACACACACACACAAGCUAAGUAAGGUGAUAUGACAAAAAAGAAAUGAAAAAAUGAAUCUUAGCAAACAGAGACAUUGUGUGAAAGUAGAAAUUGAGACUUAGUUGCAUAAGGACAUGUUGAUCUAUUUUGAACUCUAUAUAUAUGUAAAUACUAAGAGGUAAACACACACACACACACACCUGACUGCAAAGCCCAAUCACUCAUCAAAAGAAGCCGCAUUUAACUUAAUCCAAAGACUUGCAAAUAUCGCUCCAGUGAUGCAACUUGUUUGUAGAUCAAUCAUUUGUAUUUCCUCAUGUACUUUAACUAAAUAAAUAUUUUAUAUAGC
Molecule: long non-coding RNA, 4890 nt
Organism: Eriocheir sinensis (Chinese mitten crab)
Lineage: Eukaryota; Metazoa; Arthropoda; Malacostraca; Decapoda; Varunidae
Exons: 2
Source: RefSeq, a predicted model, not a curated record